GAUGAACGCUAGCGGCAGGCUUAACACAUGCAAGUCGAGGGGCAGCAAGGGUAGCAAUACCUGUUGGCGACCGGCAAACGGGUGCGGAACACGUACGCAACAUACCUUUUACUGGGGCAUAGCCUUCUGAAAAGAAGAUUAACACCCCAUAAUAUCAAUGACUGGCAUCAGUUGAUGAUUAAAAAUUUAUUGGUAAGAGAUUGGCGUGCGUCCUAUUAGCUAGUUGGAUGGGUAAUGGCCUACCAAGGCGACGAUAGGUAGCUGGUGUGAGAGCACGACCAGCCACACGGGCACUGAGACACGGGCCCCGACUCCUACGGGAGGCAGCAGUGAGGAAUAUUGCGCAAUGGGCGAAAGCCUGACGCAGCGACGCCGCGUGAGGGAUGACGGCCU
Molecule: ribosomal RNA, 393 nt
Filed under: uncultured bacterium
Lineage: Bacteria
Description: bacterial SSU rRNA
Rfam family: Bacterial small subunit ribosomal RNA
Source: RNAcentral